AGAGGGGGCAAGCGUUGCUCGGAAUUACUGGGCGUAAAGGGCGCGUAGGCGGGAUGGCAAGUCGGUCGUGAAAUCCCUCGGCUCAACCGAGGAACGUCGAUCGAUACUGCUGUUCUUGAGGAUUGCAGAGGAGACUGGAAUUCCCGGUGUAGCGGUGAAAUGUGUAGAGAUCGGGAGGAACACCGGUGGCGAAGGCGGGUCUCUGGGCAAUUCCUGACGCUGAGGCGCGAAAGCAUGGGGAGCAAACGGGAUUAGAUACCCCGGUAGUCCACGCUGUAAACGAUGAGCACUAGGUGUGGGGGGUUCAGUCCCUUCCGUGCCGCAGCUAACGCAUUAAGUGCUCCGCCUGGGGAGUACGGCCGCAAGGUG
This 369-nucleotide ribosomal RNA is filed under the name uncultured bacterium. RNAcentral's name for it is "bacterial SSU rRNA". It matches the Rfam family "Bacterial small subunit ribosomal RNA", at positions 527 to 895 of the family's 1533-position model. The record is from RNAcentral.